CAAGGUUUCCGUAGGUGAACCUGCGGAAGGAUCAUUACAGUAUUCUUUUUGCCAGCGCUUAAUUGCGCGGCGAAAAAACCUUACACACUGUGUUUUUUUGUUACUGAAAAAACUUUGUUUUGGGUUGUCUCUAGAAAUAGAGUUGGGGCAAAAGUUAACAUAAACUUCAAUUUAUUUGAAUUAUUUAUCUGAACUUAAUAGUCACUUUGUUUGAUUGAUUUCAAAAAAAUAUUUAAAACUUUCAACAAUGGAUCUCUUGGUUCUCGCAUCGAUGAAGAACGCAGCGAAAUGCGAUAAGUAAUAUGAAUUGCAGAUUUUCGUGAAUCAUCGAAUCUUUGAACGCACAUUGCGCCCUUUGGUAUUCCAGAGGGGAUGCCUGUUUGAGCGUCAUUUCUCUCUCAAACCUUAGGGUUUGGUAUUGAGUGAUACUCUUAGUCAAACUAAGCGUUUGCUUGAAAAGUAUUGGGAAGAGUGGUACUAAAUUAGUGCUUCAGAUUUUUCAAUGUAUUAGGUUUAUCCAACUCGUUGAAUAGUCUGAUGGGAAGUGUUUAGUAGCAUUGGCUCGGGCUUACAACCAACAAACAAGUUUGACCUCAAAUCAGGUAGGAAUACCCGCUGAACUUAAGCAUAUCAA
This 634-nucleotide ribosomal RNA is filed under the name Priceomyces fermenticarens. RNAcentral describes it as "eukaryotic LSU rRNA". The stretch from base 237 to 390 matches the Rfam family "5.8S ribosomal RNA". The record is from RNAcentral. Lineage: Eukaryota; Fungi; Ascomycota; Pichiomycetes; Serinales; Debaryomycetaceae.